RNAcentral lists this non-coding RNA (123 nucleotides) under Paraoerskovia marina. RNAcentral describes it as "FMN sequence". It matches the Rfam family "FMN riboswitch aptamer (RFN element)". From Rfam's summary of the family: The RFN element is a highly conserved domain that is found frequently in the 5'-untranslated regions of prokaryotic mRNAs that encode for flavin mononucleotide (FMN) biosynthesis and transport proteins. This element is a metabolite-dependent riboswitch that directly binds FMN in the absence of proteins. Lineage: Bacteria; Bacillati; Actinomycetota; Actinomycetes; Micrococcales; Cellulomonadaceae. The record is from Rfam by way of RNAcentral.
AACGUGCUCCGGGGUCGGUGAAAGUCCGAGCCGGCGGUGACAGUCCGCGACCCGCGCUUCGGCGCGGUUGACCUGGUGGAACUCCGGGACCGACGGUGAAAGUCCGGAUGGGAGGAACACGUG